UCGAAACCUGCCCAGCAGAGCGACCCGUGAACAUGUUCAACCUCAUGGGUGCUGGGGCGUUGCUCGGUGCCUUGUGUGCCGGCUCGCCCCUCUCCCAGGCGGGGGAGCUCCCACUUGUGGGCUGUUCCCCGGCUAACCAACGAACCCCGGCGCGUAAUGCGUCAAGGAAUAUAAACUUUAUGUGUGUGCUCUCCUAUCGCCCGGUUAGCCGGGCGUUGGAGUGGUGCCAUGUCUUAACAAUAAACGACUCUCGGCAACGGAUAUCUCGGCUCUCGCAUCGAUGAAGAACGUAGCGAAAUGCGAUACUUGGUGUGAAUUGCAGAAUCCCGUGAACCAUCGAGUUUUUGAACGCAAGUUGCGCCCGAAGCCUUCGGCUGAGGGCACGUCUGCCUGGGCGUCACGCAUCGCGUCUCCCCCACAUUCCACCUGGUGAGGGGAAGGAGGAUGGUUUCCCGCGACUCACCGGUCACGGCUGGCCUAAAAUUGGAGCCCUCGGCAUCGGGAUGCCGCGGCGAUAGGUGGUGAACAAGGCCUCGGCCAAGCAAGCAACCCGUCGCGCAUGCCGUGCCAAUUCGGGCUCGAAGGACCCUUUGUCGUUGUCUUAAGACAACCCGGUCAGGCGGGGCUACC
RNAcentral lists this ribosomal RNA (630 nucleotides) under Silene nutans. RNAcentral's name for it is "eukaryotic LSU rRNA". The stretch from base 246 to 400 matches the Rfam family "5.8S ribosomal RNA". The record is from RNAcentral. Lineage: Eukaryota; Viridiplantae; Streptophyta; Magnoliopsida; Caryophyllales; Caryophyllaceae.